Anolis carolinensis (green anole) is the source of this 1155-nucleotide long non-coding RNA. RefSeq lists it as uncharacterized. Lineage: Eukaryota; Metazoa; Chordata; Lepidosauria; Squamata; Anolidae. The record is from RefSeq and is a predicted model, not a curated record. The transcript is spliced from 3 exons.
AAGUUAAUCAGGCCAUGUGGUUUUGCACAGAGAAACGAAGGCUAUUUUUGUAAAGGCAGCAAUGCUUGACUCUCCACACUUAGGGGCUAAGGAGACCAGUGAAAGAAUCCUUUAGGAAUGUAUACAUUCAUGGAGUUCAAGCACUGUGUUCUGUUUUUGGAAUUGUUCCUGGCAGAAUCCUCAAGCAAAAAUGCAAACCAGAUGUACAAAAGAAAUAUAAGCUUCAUCACAAAGAGAAGAGUGUGUUCCUCAGUCCACUUGCAAGAGCUGGGAGGUGAAAGGGCAACACCAUGACCAUGGAAGAAAGUGUGGAAACAAUAUUUGGAUGUUAAAUGUACACAGUCUAGUUAAUACUGGACUUUACAUGAGAGGAACGAGACAUCUAUUCCCUCCCACUAGUAAAGAUGAAGAGAUGAGGCUUUUGCUAUUUGAAGGCCAACUUCGUGGCAGUGUGAGCAGCCAAGGAAUUAAUCUUCUGCCAUCAGUGAACUGCAAGGAGCUGUCCAGCAGAGCCGUUUCCCGUGGUCAGGGGUCUAUUACAUCCUGGCUCUGGAGAAGAUAACGCAGAUCACUCAAUAGCUUGUUGUGAAGAAAUUGCAUAGCACUUUACAGAUAAAAUCACUCAGAUCUAUUCCAAUUUGGAUUCCUUAGUUGAAACAGUCCCAGGGAAUGUAGCCUCCAUCUCUGCAUGCCUGAUAAUAAUGGAUUCUUUUCAACUUUUACAGCCUGAGGAUGUAUACAGGAUUGUUGGAGAGGUGGGUGCCACCACAUGUCUGUUAGACCCUUGCCCUUCUUGGCUCAUUAAAAGGCUUAGAGGGAGUUUGGCUGAAUGGGUGAAGGGAACUGCCAAUGUCUCUUUACAACAAGGCAGGAUUCCAGCAUUUCUAAAGAAGAUGGUUUUAAGGCCUCUGUUGGGGGGAAAGGAUCCUUUGGAUCCUUUUGCCAUGGAUAACUAUCACUCAGUAUCCAAAAUUCUAUUUUGAGGCAAGAUAAAAUGUGUAAUUGCUUCCCAUCUCCAAAGAUUCCUGAAUGAAAUGGAUUAUUUAGAAUCAUUUUGAUCUGGUUUUAGGACUGGUUGUAGGACAGAGGCAGUUUUGGUUACUUUUGUGAUUGAGUUGCACUGGAAAAUAAAAGAGGGAGUACUCUCCUGUUGGA